This is a long non-coding RNA of Pygoscelis adeliae (Adelie penguin), 587 nucleotides long. RefSeq lists it as uncharacterized. The record is from RefSeq and is a predicted model, not a curated record. The transcript has 3 exons. Lineage: Eukaryota; Metazoa; Chordata; Aves; Sphenisciformes; Spheniscidae.
UUGUACAGCUCAGAAUGAAAAGCUGGUGGGGAAGGGAAACCUGAAUUCACACACUACGGAGGAUGACUUACAAAACCACACGCUUGCAUGUGAAAUAAAGCGGAAGACUGAGAAGAAGGAGAAGGACAGUUGUGAUGGUGUUGGUUAGCGUUCGUAACCGGUUUCUGCUGCGGUUGUGGGGAAGGAGUGGAAAUGCAGGGUAGGGCCCGUAGCACCGGCAAGUGAAACACAUAUGGGAAAUCUCUGAAAAGACCUCAGAUACCUGUUCUGCACAGAAAGGUUUUAAUACGUUUUUGGAACUGCUGGUUUGUUGGUUCCGCCCGCCCCCCUCUUUAGGAGUCGUGCCCUGGAGAUUUUGGGCUCCUCUGGAAGGAAGAUGGAAUUUCCAACAUCUGCGCCUGAGUCGUCAUCAGUUUGUGCCAGUUCUGGGGGGCAGACAGGAGUAAGCAGGCUGGUGCUGAAUGCUUUGAGUCCUUUAUUUCCUAUAGCAGCAAGGAGGAAACUUGUUGGGAAAAAUAACCUCCAACAUAUUUUUUUUUUUUAAGCUUAAACCCAUUAUGUUUAAGCAUGUGCUUUUUGAUUUUUUC